AACGAACGCUGGCGGCAUGCCUAACACAUGCAAGUCGAACGAGACCUUCGGGUCUAUUGGCGCACGGGUGCGUAACGCGUGGGAACCUGCCCUUAGGUUCGGCAUAACUCCCCGAAAGGGGUGCUAAUACCGGAUAAUGUCUUCGGACCAAAGAUUUAUCGCCUUUGGAUGGGCCCGCGUUGGAUUAGCUAGUUGGUAGGGUAAAAGCCUACCAAGGCGACGAUCCAUAGCUGGUCUGAGAGGAUGAUCAGCCACACUGGGACUGAGACACGGCCCAGACUCCUACGGGAGGCAGCAGUGGGGAAUAUUGGACAGUGGGCGAAAGCCUGAUCCAGCAAUGCCGGGUGAGUGAUGAAGGCCUUAGGGUUGUAAAGCUCUUUUACCCGGGAUGAUAAUGACAGUACCGGGAGAAUAAGCUCCGGCUAACUCCGUG
Molecule: ribosomal RNA, 433 nt
Filed under: uncultured bacterium
Lineage: Bacteria
Description: partial 16S ribosomal RNA
Rfam family: Bacterial small subunit ribosomal RNA
Source: RNAcentral